GAUGAACGCUGGCGGCGUGCCUAAUACAUGCAAGUCGAGCGAACAGACGAGGAGCUUGCUCCUCUGACGUUAGCGGCGGACGGGUGAGUAACACGUGGAUAACCUAUCUAUAAGACUGGGAUAACUUCGGGAAACCUGAGCUAAUAUCGGAUAAUAUAUUGAACCGCAUGGUUCAAUAGUGAAAGACGGAUUUGCUGUCACUUAUAGAUGGAUCCGCGCCGCAUUAGCUAGUUGGUAAGGUAACGGCUUACCAAGGCAACGAUGCGUAGCCGACCUGAGAGGGUGAUCGACCACACUGGAACUGGGGCACGGUCCAGACUCCUACGGGAGGCAGCAGUAGGGAAUCUUCCGCAAUGGGCGAAAGCCUGACGGAGCAACGCCGCGUGAGUGAUGAAGGUCUUCGGAUCGUAAAACUCUGUUAUUAGGGAAGAACAAAUGUGUAAUUAACUAUGCACGUCUUGACGGUACCUAAUCAGAAAGCCACGGCUAACUACGUG
Molecule: ribosomal RNA, 497 nt
Filed under: uncultured bacterium
Lineage: Bacteria
Description: partial 16S ribosomal RNA
Rfam family: Bacterial small subunit ribosomal RNA
Source: RNAcentral